GGUGUUACGAGGCUUAGGUUAUGUUGCUACCAUAACUGAUCAGAGUUCAAUUCUCUGAUAAUACCA
RNAcentral lists this transfer RNA (66 nucleotides) under Asymmetron inferum. RNAcentral describes it as "tRNA-Ser". Lineage: Eukaryota; Metazoa; Chordata; Leptocardii; Amphioxiformes; Branchiostomatidae. The record is from RNAcentral.